Lathyrus oleraceus (garden pea) is the source of this 587-nucleotide long non-coding RNA. RefSeq lists it as uncharacterized. NCBI's taxonomy places the organism in Eukaryota, Viridiplantae, Streptophyta, Magnoliopsida, Fabales, Fabaceae. The record is from RefSeq and is a predicted model, not a curated record. The transcript is spliced from 3 exons.
GUUGAGUUUGAAAGGCUUCUGGGUGUAUCCGAAGCAAAGUUUGCAAUAUCACAGUUAUCCAAGGUAGAUAGAGGUGACGAUACUGAUACUGUGAAGUUCUCUGAAUUGCUUCAUUGUCAUCAUUCUAAAGUGCUGGAGUACCAUCGGAUGUUGCAAAUGUGUGCAUAGGCGAUAUCAAUGAUCAUUCAAGCCACAGGAGCAAGUUCACUUUUACUAAACACGGGAGCUCUGUACCUAUCUGUUGGUGGCAUGCUAAUGUCUGUAAUUUCCUUGUUGGGUUACUGUUCUUGCGUUUACUGGAGAAACUUGGUCCACAACUGCUUUACUCAAUGUUUGCUACAUUCUGCAUGAUGGCAGUAAUCUUUGUAAAAAGAAAUGUGGUGGAAACCAAAGGGAAAUCACUUCAAGAAAUUGAGAUAGCACUUCUUCCCCAAGACUAGAGCUUCUUACAAAAACCCAUUCACUGCAGUAAUUUUGCAUAAUUUGGGGGCUAUCAUAGUGUCGGCUAUGAGCAUAUUAUGAACAAAUGUUAACAAUGAUUGUUCAAUCCAUUUCCGAAAAAUGCAGCAAUUUCAUAAGUUUUAAGA